This 91-nucleotide transfer RNA is filed under the name Microbotryum lychnidis-dioicae p1A1 Lamole. RNAcentral describes it as "tRNA-Ser for anticodon UGA". It matches the Rfam family "tRNA". Rfam says of the family: Transfer RNA (tRNA) molecules are approximately 80 nucleotides in length. Their secondary structure includes four short double-helical elements and three loops (D, anti-codon, and T loops). The record is from Rfam by way of RNAcentral. RNAcentral also lists the same sequence under 1 other name. Lineage: Eukaryota; Fungi; Basidiomycota; Microbotryomycetes; Microbotryales; Microbotryaceae.
GACAUUGUGGCGGAGUUGGUUAACGCGACAGAUUUGAAUUCCAAGUAUCUGUUUCCCUACGGGAGCGCAGGUUCGAAUCCUGUCAAUGUCG